This 67-nucleotide transfer RNA is filed under the name Duplicibothrium sp. MZUSP 8039. Its description in RNAcentral is "tRNA-Glu". Lineage: Eukaryota; Metazoa; Platyhelminthes; Cestoda; Tetraphyllidea; Serendipidae. The record is from RNAcentral.
UCUGCUUUAGUAUAGUUAAUAUGAUAGCUUUUCGUGCUGUAGACAGUCUUUAUUAGACUAAGCAGGA